Molecule: long non-coding RNA, 207 nt
Filed under: Phoenix dactylifera (date palm)
Lineage: Eukaryota; Viridiplantae; Streptophyta; Magnoliopsida; Arecales; Arecaceae
Description: long non-coding RNA (PDAC_LNC017353)
Source: RNAcentral
UCCUUCGUAUUCAAGGCUCUUCUUCUGACAUCAAAUCUUCAGUGCACUCAAAGAGAAGACUCAGAGUUCGAGAAGCCCUUUCUUCCUCUUCCGAAAUCUGUUUGAGGGCUUCUAACUUUACUCUAUUCAUAUUGUUUUAUAUUUGCUUUUUAAGAAGCUUUCCUUGUAUCUUUUCCCAAACUAUUUUUCUUACUUGGUUCAAUCAGG